This 465-nucleotide ribosomal RNA is filed under the name uncultured bacterium. Its description in RNAcentral is "partial 16S ribosomal RNA". It matches the Rfam family "Bacterial small subunit ribosomal RNA", at positions 28 to 507 of the family's 1533-position model. The record is from RNAcentral.
GAUGAACGCUGGCGGCGUGCUUAACACAUGCAAGUCGAACGGAAAGGCUCCUGCUUGCAGGGGUACUCGAGUGGCGAAAGGGUGAGUAACACGUGGGUGAUCUGCCCUGCACUUCGGGAUAAGCCUGGGAAACGGGGUCUAAUACCGGAUAGGACGAUGGUUUGGAUGCCAUUGUGGAAGGUUUUUCGGUGUGGGAUGAGCUCGCGGCCUAUCAGCUUGUUGGUGGGGUAAUGGCCUACCAAGGCGUCGACGGGUAGCCGGCCUGAGAGGGUGUACGGCCACAUUGGGACUGAGAUACGGCCCAGACUCCUACGGGAGGCAGCAGUGGGGAAUAUUGCACAAUGGGCGCAAGCCUGAUGCAGCGACGCCGCGUGGGGGAUGACGGCCUUCGGGUUGUAAACUCCUUUCGCUAGGGACGAAGCGCAAGUGACGGUACCUGGAGAAGAAGCACCGGCUAACUACGUG